RNAcentral lists this transfer RNA (72 nucleotides) under Gammaproteobacteria bacterium. RNAcentral describes it as "tRNA-Lys". It matches the Rfam family "tRNA". Rfam says of the family: Transfer RNA (tRNA) molecules are approximately 80 nucleotides in length. Their secondary structure includes four short double-helical elements and three loops (D, anti-codon, and T loops). The record is from RNAcentral. Lineage: Bacteria; Pseudomonadati; Pseudomonadota; Gammaproteobacteria.
GGGCCACUAGCUCAAUGGUAGAGCCGCGGACUCUUAAUCCGUUGGUUUCAGGUUCAAGUCCUGAGUGGCCCG